AUUGAACGCUGGCGGCAGGCCUAACACAUGCAAGUCGAAUGGUAACAGGAAACAGCUUGCUGUUUCGCUGACGAGUGGCGGACGGGUGAGUAAUGUUUGGGAAACUGCCUGAUGGAGGGGGAUAACUACUGGAAACGGUAGCUAAUACCGCAUAACGUCGCAAGACCAAAGAGGGGGACCUUCGGGCCUCUUGCCAUCAUAUGUGCCCAGAUGGGAUUAGCUAGUAGGUGGGGUAACGGCUCACCUAGGCGACGAUCCCUAGCUGGUCUGAGAGGAUGACCAGCCACACUGGAACUGAGACACGGUCCAGACUCCUACGGGAGGCAGCAGUGGGGAAUAUUGCACAAUGGGCGGAAGCCUGAUGCAGCCAUGCCGCGUGUAUGAAGAAGGCCUUCGGGUUGUAAAGUACUUUCAGCGGGGAGGAAGGGAGUAAAGUUAAUACCUUUGCUGAUUGACGUUAACCGCAGAAGAAGCACCGGCUAACUACGUG
This 490-nucleotide ribosomal RNA is filed under the name uncultured bacterium. RNAcentral describes it as "partial 16S ribosomal RNA". It matches the Rfam family "Bacterial small subunit ribosomal RNA", at positions 30 to 507 of the family's 1533-position model. The record is from RNAcentral.